RNAcentral lists this ribosomal RNA (253 nucleotides) under uncultured bacterium. RNAcentral's name for it is "partial 16S ribosomal RNA". It matches the Rfam family "Bacterial small subunit ribosomal RNA", at positions 524 to 776 of the family's 1533-position model. The record is from RNAcentral.
UACGUAGGUGGCGAGCGUUGUCCGGAAUUACUGGGCGUAAAGGGCGCGCAGGCGGCGCGUUAAGUCCGGGGUGAAAUCCCACGGCUCAACUGUGGGGGGACCCUGGAUACUGGCGUGCUGGAGUGCGGGAGAGGGAAGCGGAAUUCCACGUGUAACGGUGAAAUGUAUAGAUAUGUGGAGGAACACCGGUGGCGAAGGCGGCUUCCUGGACCGUAACUGACGCUGAGGCGCGAAAGCUGGGGGAGCGAACAGG